AUUGAACGCUGGCGGCAUGCUUUACACAUGCAAGUCGAACGGUAACAGGCCGCAAGGUGCUGACGAGUGGCGAACGGGUGAGUAAUGCAUCGGAACGUGCCCAGUCGUGGGGGAUAACUACUCGGAAGAGUAGCUAAUACCUCAUACGAUCUAUGGAUGAAAGCGGGGGACCGUAAGGCCUCGCGCGAUUGGAGCGGCCGAUGUCAGAUUAGGUAGUUGGUGGGGUAAAGGCUCACCAAGCCAACGAUCUGUAGCUGGUCUGAGAGGACGACCAGCCACACUGGGACUGAGACACGGCCCAGACUCCUACGGGAGGCAGCAGUGGGGAAUUUUGGACAAUGGGCGCAAGCCUGAUCCAGCAAUGCCGCGUGCAGGAAGAAGGCCUUCGGGUUGUAAACUGCUUUUGUACGGAACGAAACGGCUCUGGUUAAUACCCGGGGCUAAUGACGGUACCGUAAGAAUAAGCACCGGCUAACUACGUG
Molecule: ribosomal RNA, 482 nt
Filed under: uncultured bacterium
Lineage: Bacteria
Description: partial 16S ribosomal RNA
Rfam family: Bacterial small subunit ribosomal RNA
Source: RNAcentral